Molecule: unclassified non-coding RNA, 24 nt
Filed under: Mus musculus (house mouse)
Lineage: Eukaryota; Metazoa; Chordata; Mammalia; Rodentia; Muridae
Description: oocyte_clustered_small_RNA13710
Source: RNAcentral
UAACAGGUCUUAAGCUACCACCAC